RNAcentral lists this transfer RNA (76 nucleotides) under Chloroflexota bacterium. RNAcentral's name for it is "Chloroflexi bacterium (oil production facility metagenome) tRNA-Arg". It matches the Rfam family "tRNA". Rfam says of the family: Transfer RNA (tRNA) molecules are approximately 80 nucleotides in length. Their secondary structure includes four short double-helical elements and three loops (D, anti-codon, and T loops). Further hydrogen bonds mediate the characteristic L-shaped molecular structure. tRNAs have two regions of fundamental functional importance: the anti-codon, which is responsible for specific mRNA codon recognition, and the 3' end, to which the tRNAs corresponding amino acid is attached (by aminoacyl-tRNA synthetases). tRNAs cope with the degeneracy of the genetic code in two manners: having more than one tRNA (with a specific anti-codon) for a particular amino acid; and 'wobble' base-pairing, i.e. permitting non-standard base-pairing at the 3rd anti-codon position. Lineage: Bacteria; Bacillati; Chloroflexota. The record is from RNAcentral.
GCCCCAAUAGCUCAGCGGAUAGAGCAACUGCCUUCUAAGCAGUGGGCCGGAGGUUCGAGUCCUCCUUGGGGCGCCA